ACACAGCGAGAGAGGGAACACCAGCAGGGGGAGUGGGAGGGGGAGAAGCAGGCUUCCCGCGGAGCAGGGAGCCCGAUGCGGGGCUCAAUCCCAAGACCCUGGGAUCAUGACCUGAGCCGAAGGCAGACGCUUAACGACUGUGCCACCCAGGUGCCCCAGACCUAUUUUCUUCUAUGUAAGAAAAAAGCACAAGAAUUUUCAACACGGGUCAUCUACUCUCUGAAAUGAGUUCCAGCAGCAUAUCCUAAAGCAAAAUACCAUGGAAAUAUAUGGAGGCAUGGGGCCCAAUACAGAGCUUAAACUCAUGACCCUGAGAUCAUGACCUGAGCUGAGAUCAAGAGUCUUAACCAGACUGAGCCAACCAUGUGCCCCAGUUCAUCUCUUUUAAAUAAAGAUAUUUAAUCCUAC
Molecule: long non-coding RNA, 408 nt
Organism: Mirounga angustirostris (Northern elephant seal)
Lineage: Eukaryota; Metazoa; Chordata; Mammalia; Carnivora; Phocidae
Exons: 3
Source: RefSeq, a predicted model, not a curated record